Zootermopsis nevadensis is the source of this 3677-nucleotide non-coding RNA. The record is from RefSeq and is a predicted model, not a curated record. NCBI's taxonomy places the organism in Eukaryota, Metazoa, Arthropoda, Insecta, Blattodea, Termopsidae.
CUGUUUUCUGGGUUGUUGCACCAUGUAGUCAGUCUGGUAGAAGUUCACGACAUCUCAAAGGUGCUUGCUGCCUCCAUCAUCAGAAUGAUAAAAUGCUGAUAAACUUCUACCACACUACACGACACAACGACCGAAAAACUAGAAUCUUCAUAGUCACUGCCGUGAGAACCUCAAAUGCUACUCGAUGCUUUAAGUUGGCAACGUAGGCGACGUAUGCGGUGAACCGCGUACUGUCCUACCAUCUAUCAACAGCACUGCCAAGAAUACAGUAGGUACAAAUUUUGUCAUCUAACUUCAGGAUUUCCCUCCGUCGAAAUUGAAAUAUCUGAACUUUGCCACAUUUUCAAAGCUUCCAUUAGCUAUCUUUACGUUACGAUUUUCCCCUGCAUUUUAGUGACACGAUGAUGAAUUUAGAAGAAUGAGAUGGGUAGGGCAUGUUGUACGCAUGGUUGGCGCAAGAAUUGUGCACCGGAUUAUGGUCGGGAAGCCUGAAGGGAAGAGACCACAGGGGAGAGACCUAGACGUAGAUGGGAGGAUAACAUCAAGUGAGAUGUAUGGGAAAUAGGAGUUAAAGGGAUGGAUCUUACUUCAUCUUCUAAUAAAAAGGACGAAUCAUCUAUCCUGUUCCAUUCGGCAGACAAUUCGCAGAGAUCAGUGGUAUUGAACAACAAUUACAUUCAAGAUGGAAUUAGGGGCAGAUUAAAUUUGAACAAUGUUUGCAACAAUGCAUAUGUACAAUUUUUACGAAAGAUAUAUUCAAAGCUGUUACGUUUGUAAACCUGAAAUAAUGUUUUAUGGGUAAUUCCAAGAUGGAUGCAUGUUUGUUAUGUAUGCAUUGUAUUGACUGUAACUGAAAUAAAAUCAGGAAAAUAAAACUGAGCAUAACAGCUGGAAGUGCUACGACACGAAACUUAAACUGAAGUAUAUACAAAAAAGUCCAGAAAAUGCGAAAAAUAUACCUCAACAGGUACGUAGAAUAAGAAGCUACAUUUUAAAAGUUCAUGUUUUAACUUGGGUCAUCUGUGUACUGUUUGAGUUUAUACAUACACCUAAUAAUUGAGUUACUGAAAAGCAAUACAUAAAUGUUGUGGGAUCUGGGAAGUUACGCAUUCGUUUAUUAUCGGGUUUAGUGAUGGGCGUAUAGUCCAUUUUAUUCAGGUUAAGGUUAUUCAUUUUCAGCCUUCCGAUAAAAUCAACACUAGAAUACUAUAUAGCCUUACCAACAUUUUUAGACAGGAGGGAAAUUGAAUCAAUUGAGCAAAGACAGAAUGAGAAUUAUAGCUGCUUAAAUGAAAUGCAUGAGAGAAACAUCAGAAUACACUUUGAUGAAGAAUAAAAGCGAUUAAAUUGGACAUGUUGCAGAAUGCAAACAACCACAUUUCCUACAUUGCAAGUAUUAAAAAUGAAAUUCAUAUGGAUUAGGGAGCAGAAGAGAACCUUUAAAAAGUCUUUUGGACAGAUUUGGUUGGAAUGCAAUAACAAGUGGCUUUUCUCUUUGACUGCUAGAUGAUAUUUGAUUAUGCUAACAUUCAUUUCUUAAGAUUUGAUAUCAGCAAUGUGCUACCUUUUACUUCUUAAUCUGUCAAUACUGGUUGGCAUGACAGCAUAUGUAACACUGUCUGAUAAUAUAGAAGUCUGGUAUAUAUGAAGUGUAAGAUGAGAAUAGGAAAAUGACCUUAGAUAAAACAGGAUAGGUUUGUACCAAAACAUCUAAAUACUGCCAAACCUGUGAAAUGUUAUAAUUUCAUUAUUCCAAAGUUCAGAGCAGUGUAAUUUAUGUGCAAUGCUACAGAGUACCUUUUCCUUCUGUAAGAUUUAAAUUUUUUAUCACAAUGUUCCACUCUAUCCAGCAACUCUUUGACUUUCAUGGCUUCUAUCAGAUAUGUCUUUGUUACCAUGUUCUGGUUGUGCAGCCUGGAGAGUUACAAAAGUAAAUGGCCAAUUUUUUAAUGUUAAAUGUUAAAAGCAUAUUCACUUCCUUGUCAAAAUAACUUCUGAAGGGCAAAUGGACAUUCCUGUAAUUGGGAAUUGAAGGCUCCCAGAGUGUACAGUGGGCUAGAAUUGAGUCAAAAUGGGACAGAAUUAUUUUUCAUGACUUAUGGAUUCCAUUGUAACUAAAAUCAAUAUUAAUAUAUAAAUUCACAUAUUUUUUCUAACUACAAGCUGUUUUCACAUAAAUAUACAGGAAAAAUCUAUAUCUUAAGCUACAUCAUUUUGAAAUUUCAAAAGUUAUUCUUUGUUCCAAAAGGCAGUUGGCAUUGUUGGUAAGAUUUCCUUAGACUUGAUACAAGAGGGUCCAAAGAUGUUGAUUGUUCAAUAACUUUGUUAUGGUGUUGUGAUGAGAUGUCUUAUGUCAUAUUCUCAUAAUAUUUUCAUAUCUUUAGUCUGAGUCUCCUUACAUGUCUGUUCAAUCAGAAGCAUGGAUGAUUUAAUUUGAGUUCUUUGGAUAAGAAUUUUAUGGAUGCUGGCCAAUAAAUACAACCAGUGGUAUUUCUCAACAGUUUUGUGAUUUCAAGUGGAUAGACAUUAAAAGCCUCACUGUCCAUUUCUUGUCAACAUGGAAUUACUUGUAGGACAACUGGAAAAAAAAAUUAAUUAGUUCUUGAUCAAUCCGUUAUGGAAGGUCCAUUUGUAGGUGAAAUUCUAAACUUUUUAUGUCAUUAGAAAUUUAGUAGCAUAGGUGCCUCAUAACAUCUUGUGCACCUCCGCUCUGGCUGUUGAAUGUUCCAAGCAAGAGUAACGUUUUCUAAUCAUGGCAUCUUGGAUGUGGGUGCCCUUGUGACUCUAUAUAGAUAAUCUGGACUGGAGAUAUCUCAUAUGUGAUUCAUGUAACCCACUUGUCUAAAAGCGGCCCAUCCACGUAUGAGUCUGACUUGCGAGUCUGGCUCGGCGAGCUUGACUCGUGAGCCGGGCUCGGAUAUAUUUCACCACACAUGCAUAGCAGACUCGGCUUGUGAUACCCCACCCACAAACGAGGUUGGCUGAAUUGGAGCCAAGCCGGACUCGCAAGCCAGACUCGUACAUGGAUGGGCCGCUUAAGAAAUGCUCAAUUCUCCAUAACUCUGCCUUACUUUGAGCAGCUUCCUUUGAUCUGCAGAUUUUGACAGUCUCAUUUAUUGCGGUAUCUUCCCCAGUUAAGAGUGUCUUAACAUCUCUAGAGAAUGGACCAACCAUAAAUUGGUCUUGGAGGACUUGAUCAAUGAAGGUGCAAAAAUUUCAGCUUCUGGGACUCGCAUAUGAACUGACUCCUCCUCCCUUUGACACUAUUGGUAAAAGUUAUAGCUUUAGACUAUAACCAGAUAUUUUGGAGUUUAGUAUUUACAGAGAAUAAACAGUUAUCACUAUGGGGAAUGGACUCUUUUAACUGUGGAGCAACCAACCCUUUGGUUAUUUUAUAGAUGUCCAGUGGACAAUGUAGGGGUAGGAGCAACGCUUUUGCUGACAUAGGCACAUCCAAUAGCUGUAAGUACCAUGUAAAUUAGUCCAGAAGUUCUGAAAUGUCUUCCUCUUUCCCCACGAACUUAGUUGGUUGGUCAAGGAUUACAACUGGGAAAGCUGAUUCCUGUUCUGUUUGUUGAGAUGCCAUUGGGAGGCCCACUUUGACAUCGACAGUCUGUAUCAUCAAGAUGUGUUAAAGUUACUGACCUUGUAAUCACUAAUAUAUUUGCUCUCUGUGA